GACGAACGCUGGCGGCGUGCUUAACACAUGCAAGUCGAACGGAAAGGCCCUGCUUGCAGGGUACUCGAGUGGCGAACGGGUGAGUAACACGUGGGUGAUCUGCCCUGCACUUCGGGAUAAGCUUGGGAAACUGGGUCUAAUACCGGAUAGGAACCAUCUUUAGUGUGGUGGUUGGAAAGUUUUUUCGGUGUAGGAUGAGCUCGCGGCCUAUCAGCUUGUUGGUGGGGUAAUGGCCUACCAAGGCGGCGACGGGUAGCCGGCCUGAGAGGGUGUACGGCCACAUUGGGACUGAGAUACGGCCCAGACUCCUACGGGAGGCAGCAGUGGGGAAUAUUGCACAAUGGGCGCAAGCCUGAUGCAGCGACGCCGCGUGGGGGAUGAAGGCCUUCGGGUUGUAAACUCCUUUCGCUAGGGACGAAGCUUUUUUGUGACGGUACCUAGAUAAGAAGCACCGGCUAACUACGUG
This 466-nucleotide ribosomal RNA is filed under the name uncultured bacterium. Its description in RNAcentral is "partial 16S ribosomal RNA". It matches the Rfam family "Bacterial small subunit ribosomal RNA", at positions 28 to 507 of the family's 1533-position model. The record is from RNAcentral.